AGGAGGAACAAUCCCAGUGGUGGCAGCCAGCUCUGGAGCCCUGGAGUCAGCCCCCGCAGUAGCUCCGGAGCUCUCCAUCUGCAGGGCCUGGAGGCUCCGGGGCGGG
Non-coding RNA from Canis lupus familiaris (dog), 106 nucleotides. The record is from Rfam. NCBI's taxonomy places the organism in Eukaryota, Metazoa, Chordata, Mammalia, Carnivora, Canidae.